Molecule: ribosomal RNA, 3256 nt
Filed under: Psammophaga sp. 12208
Lineage: Eukaryota; Foraminifera
Description: SSU rRNA
Rfam family: Eukaryotic small subunit ribosomal RNA
Source: RNAcentral
CUCAAAGAUUAAGCCAUGCAAGUGGUUUGCAACCCGACGGUUUGAAUAAGUGUUCAUGCUAUUAACAAUUGCUUAAUACACUCUAUUAGCUUUGUUAUUAUUAGCACCUGCGCAUUUGAUUAGUGUUUUACACUAUGAUAUGUGCUUUCACGUUCGUGAAUCACCAAUUUAUUGGUAUCACUUACGCAACUGCAGACAGCUGCUUAAUACAGUCACACUUGUCUUGACUUGGCGCAUAUUACUGUGUUAAUCUUUCAUUUGCUUUAUUUUGAGAAAACACACAUCUUUUCUCUUUUUGAAGCUUUUGUUAGUGUACACACGUAGUAUAAUUGUAACAUUCAGAUUUCGCUUUUCAUUAAGCGUACUGAUAUUACCUGAAAUAUUCAUUUGGAUAACUCAGGGAAAGUUUGGCUAAUACGUACGAGGAGUUAUUUAUUACUUUCACUUUUGUGAACACUUGGACUACUUUUUAUACACAACAUAAGUCCGUGUUUUACAGCUGUGUUAGUAUGUUACUCUCCACUUUCGCGCUUACUGGAGCAGUGUAUCUUGUGUUUUCGGACACUCGUGCAUUGCAUUUGCAACAUGAGAGACAGUAAGAACGCGUUUUGCUUAUCUUUUGAUGAGCAUAGCUGAGCAGACUUGCGAGGAAUCAUACUUGCAAGCAGGUCAUACAAGCAUCUACAGCAUCAAGUCACAGGGUCGGCAAGUGUAUUUUUGAACCUUCAAAGCAGUUACGCAUACGGAAGAGUAGUUUCUGAUCCCAUAGAAGGAGCACCGUACGAUGAGAGACCGCUCUUAGUUCUAAGGAACGCAGCAGGCGCGUAAAUUGCCCAAUGCUAGUCCCCUAAACUAACUUUUGUUUUAUAAACAAUAAGCUUAGUGGUGUACUAUCUUUGUAUACACUAUUACACUAUUUAUCACAACUUUGUUGUGUGUUGCAAUAUAACCACUAUAAUUUUCAUCAUUAUUUUCCUUGUUCACUGACGUGUCAAGUCGAAAUGCUGUUUUUGUUUAAAAAGACAGUUACUUUCACUGAGGCAGUGACAAGCUGUAACGGUUGAGUAUAAAAAUAUACGAGGGCCUGACAUUGCCGCCUUCGGGCGUUGCAGUCGUCGGCUCUUUGUGUGCUCAAUUGGAAUGCGGUGAGUCUAAGCAAUUCAGAACCUUUGGUGUGACUUCGGUCACAUUAAGUAUCUGAACUUCAAGUGGAGGGCAAGUCUGGUGCCAGCAGCCGCGGUAAUACCAGCUCCACUAGCCUAUACAAUCAUUGUUGCGGUUAAGAGGCUCGUAGUUGGAUUGAACACUUUUCUUUUAUUCAUGAUAUAUAAUCUAAGCUUCACUGCUUUUUGAAUAUAUGUGUGGAAUAAGAAAUUUAACCAUAGACAUACUUUGGUUGAUUCUUUGAAGCCAUGUAUCAUUUGCUCUGAAUGUUUAUAUCUCUCAUGUAAUAUAACACUGCGUUUUCAACACUGUGAACAAAUCAGAGUGUAUCAAACAUGUCGUAUUUGAUUGUGCAUUGAAUGUUUCAUCAUGGAAUGUUGCACCUUCAAAUGAUCCGAAAGGAGACCGAUUUUGUAUGCUUACACCUUCUGAUAAUUAGUGUAUUAUUACUCUCAACUGAUGAGGUAUUCACUUUUUUCAUUGCAAUAAUCAUAGUUUCUCUCUUUCGAUCAUUUUUGUGUCGAUGGGGAUAGUUGGAGUCAAGAGUACUGCUGGGCGAGCGGUGAAAUGCUUUGACCCUAGCAGGACUACCAAAAGCGAAAGCACUUGGCUAGGCUAUCCUCUUUGUGAUUGAUUCUAGUUAUGCCAAGUUUGCUUAUACACAUUUGCUUACUUACUGGUAUUAACAACAUGAAGCAUCACUUUACAAUGAAGAACGAAGGUUGGGGGUUCAAAGAGGAUCAGAUACCCUCGUCGUCCCAUUAAUUACAUCAAACGAUGGGCUCUCAAUUGCAUUUAAACUUUUGCCCUCAGCCUGCAAAUUUGGGCUUGUAGCUUGCUCUUCGGAGUAUGCUCGCCUGUUUGUAGUGUUUCGAGGACAUAUUUGCAGCGUGCUACUUUACUCGUUAAAGUUUGCACUUGAUUUUCGGAGCUUUGCGCUCAUUUGGUGAGAUGUAAGCACCAGGUCUACUGGCACUGCUUGUACCCUUUGUUGGUGCUUGCGGUGUACAGUUGGACACUUUUUGGUGUGAGGCACGCUUUAGGCACGCGCUUACUGCAGAAAUGUCUGAGACAUUCCCCUCCGGGGGUAGUAUGCACGCAAGUGUGAAACUUGAAGGAAUUGACGGAAGGGCACCACAAGAACGUGUGGAGCAUGUGGCUUAAUUUGACUCAACGCGGGAAAUCUUACCGGGUCCGGACACACUGAGGAUUGACAGGCGUUUGUGGUUUAGUAUCUAGCUUCGGUUGGCUCUGCUUUUCCACUAUAAAUAUGCUAGUCCUUUCAUGAUUGUGUGAUAGGUGGUGCAUGGYCGUUCUUAGUUCGUGGAGUGAUCUGUCUGCUUAAUUGCGUUUCACAAAGAACUCUUUAACUUUUACCUGUUGCGCGUCAUUGCGCUCUCUGAGACGAUGUCUGUGCACGGUAAAGAAAAAGUUCUGAAGGCAACGAACGUGACCGCAACCUCUUGUUGCCUCCUUUUUUCAAACAUGAGAGUACUGUCUUGUCUCGUACAAGCUGUGCUUCUCUGCAUGGAGUGCUAACUAGAGGGACCGCUGACAACUUUUAAAACAGAGGAAGGUUGCGGCAAUAACAGGUCUGUGAUGCCCUUAGAUGUUCCGGGCUGCACACGUGCUACAAUGAUUAUUGCAGUGAGCAUCUAACUAAAAAAAGCUCGAGUUUGUGUUUAGUUGCCUCGUGUAACUUUACAUAGCUCGGCUACUGACCUGCUUCGAAAGUAAGCAGGUAAUCAAUUCGAAGUAAUGAUUUCCUUUCGCACAUACUUAUAUCUCUUGCUUGCAGGCUAGCCCGCGCUUGUCGUGUGGUUUUGUCCUGCCUUGAGAUAUGUGCUCCAUUAAUUCAUGGUGGGGACAGACCAUUGUUAAUUGUUGGUCUCGGUCUCAACUAGGAAUGCCUUGUACGGGUCUUUGGUUCAACAAACCACCCGGAAUAUGUCCCUGCCCUUUGUACACACCGCCCGUCGCUCUUACCGAUGGACUUCUCUAUGAGUUUGGGGGACUGGCUUUCUAUUUAUAGACAGCUAUGGAAACCUAAACGAAUAGUGUGGUCUAAAGGAAAGAGAAGUCGAACAAGGCA